RNAcentral lists this transfer RNA (65 nucleotides) under Chrysis fax. RNAcentral describes it as "tRNA-Val". Lineage: Eukaryota; Metazoa; Arthropoda; Insecta; Hymenoptera; Chrysididae. The record is from RNAcentral.
AAAAUUUUAGUUUAAUAAAAAUAUUUCAUUUACAAUGAAAAGAUUUAAGUAAAGUAAAAAUUUUA